GUCCACGCUGUAAACUAUGGAUAUUAGGUAUGGGGAGUAUCGACCCUCUCCGUGCCGAAGCUAACGCAUUAAAUAUCCCGCCUGGGGACUACGGUCGCAAGACUAAAACUCAAAGGAAUUGACGGGGGCCCGCACAAGCAGCGGAGCGUGUGGUUUAAUUCGAUGCAACACGAAGAACCUCACCAAGGUUUGACAUGACGGAAGUAGCGGACCGAAAGGCGAGCGAACUGUUGAAUCAGUAACCGCCACAGGUGCUGCAUGGCUGUCGU
This 269-nucleotide ribosomal RNA is filed under the name uncultured bacterium. RNAcentral describes it as "partial 16S ribosomal RNA". It matches the Rfam family "Bacterial small subunit ribosomal RNA", at positions 793 to 1055 of the family's 1533-position model. The record is from RNAcentral.